GAUUAACGCUGGCGGCGUGCCUAACACAUGCAAGUCGAGCGGCAGCGAGUUUUACACUGAAUUCUGGAAGCUUCUAGUUGAAAGAGAAGAUUUAUUCAAGAAUUUUGUGUAAAAUGUCGGCGAGCGGCGGACGGCUGAGUAACGCGUGGGAACGUACCCCAAAGUGAGGGAUAACGCAUCGAAAGGUGUGCUAAUACCGCAUAUGGUCUUCGGAUUAAAUCCUUCGGGCGCUUUGGGAACGGCCUGCGUAAGAUUAGAUAGUUGGUGGGGUAAUGGCCUACCAAGGGGACGAUCGUUAACUGGUUUGAGAGGAUGAUCAGUCAGACUGGAACUGAGACACGGUCCAGACUCCUACGGGAGGCAGCAGUGAGGAAUCUUCCACAAUGGGCGAAAGCCUGAUGGAGCAACGCCGCGUGCAGGAUGAAGGCCUUCGGGUUGUAAACUGCUUUUAUAAGUGAGGAUUAUGACAGUAACUUAUGAAUAAGGAUCGGCUAACUACGUG
This 502-nucleotide ribosomal RNA is filed under the name uncultured bacterium. RNAcentral's name for it is "partial 16S ribosomal RNA". It matches the Rfam family "Bacterial small subunit ribosomal RNA", at positions 28 to 507 of the family's 1533-position model. The record is from RNAcentral.